GGGAAUGUAGUUAAUUAUAACAUUUGGGUUGCAUACAAAAAGUAUUGAAUUUUCAAUCUAUCUCA
Molecule: transfer RNA, 65 nt
Filed under: Cryptocercus sp. 3 ZQW-2021c
Lineage: Eukaryota; Metazoa; Arthropoda; Insecta; Blattodea; Cryptocercidae
Description: tRNA-Ala
Source: RNAcentral